UUUAAACAUGCAAGUCGAACGGAAACGAAAAUAGCUUGCUAUUUGGCGUCGAGUGGCGAACGGGUGAGUAACGCGUAGGAAUCUACCCAGUAGAGGGGGAUAGCCCGAAGAAAUUCGGAUUAAUACCGCAUAAUCUCUACGGAGUAAAGAAGGCCUCUUUACAAUGCUUUUACUAUUGGAUGAGCCUGCGUUAGAUUAGUUAGUUGGUAGGGUAAAAGCCUACCAAGGCGACGAUCUAUAGCUGGUUUUACGAGAAUGAUCAGCCACACUGGAACUGAGACACGGUCCAGACUCCUACGGGAGGCAGCAGUGAAGAAUAUUGGACAAUGGGGGAAACCCUGAUCCAGCAAUGUUGCGUGUGUGAAGAAGGUCCGAGGAUUGUAAAGCACUUUCAGUAAGCAAGAAAAAUGUAAAUCUAAUAGAUUUGCAUGUUGACCACUUAUAGAAGAAGCACCGGCUAACUCCGUGCCAGCAGCCGCGGUAAUACGGAGGGUGCGAGCGUUAAUCGGAAUUACUGGGCGUAAAGGGUAAGUAGGCGGUUUAUAAAGUCACAUGUGAAAGCCCUAAGCUUAACCUAGGAAG
Molecule: ribosomal RNA, 582 nt
Filed under: uncultured bacterium
Lineage: Bacteria
Description: bacterial SSU rRNA
Rfam family: Bacterial small subunit ribosomal RNA
Source: RNAcentral